RNAcentral lists this ribosomal RNA (384 nucleotides) under uncultured bacterium. Its description in RNAcentral is "bacterial SSU rRNA". It matches the Rfam family "Bacterial small subunit ribosomal RNA", at positions 123 to 541 of the family's 1533-position model. The record is from RNAcentral.
AAUCUGCCUUUUGGUUUGGAAUAACACGGGGAAACUUGUGCUAAUACCGAAUAAGCCUUUACAGGGAAAGUUUUAACGCCGAAAGAUGAGCCCGCACUUGAUUAGCUAGUUGGUAAGGUAAAAGCUUACCAAGGCAAUGAUCAAUAGCUGUUCUUAGAGGAAGACCAGCCACAUUGGGACUGAGACACGGCCCAGACUCCUACGGGAGGCAGCAGUGGGGAAUCUUGCACAAUGGGGGAAACCCUGAUGCAGCGAUGCCGCGUGAGUGAAGAAGGCCUUUGGGUUGUAAAACUCUUUCGUCGGGGAAGAAAAUGACUGUACCCGAAUAAGAAGGUCCGGCUAACUUCGUGCCAGCAGCCGCGGUAAUACGAAGGGACCUAGCGU